RNAcentral lists this ribosomal RNA (2784 nucleotides) under Triticum aestivum (bread wheat). Its description in RNAcentral is "partial small subunit ribosomal RNA". The record is from RNAcentral. Lineage: Eukaryota; Viridiplantae; Streptophyta; Magnoliopsida; Poales; Poaceae.
AUGUCUCCUCAAGUUUUCCGCACCCAAUCUCUGAUUCCCCACCAUGCACUCUUCCUUCUUUGCACCAUCCUCAUAUUUCUAUCCUCCAACACAAUCAUAUUCUCAUCGGCACAGGCUACCAACAAAACCGAAGAUGACCGGCAAGCCCUUCUCUGCUUCAAAGCUGGCAUCUCCAAGGACCCUGCCGGUGUUCUUGGAUCAUGGCGCAAUGACUCGCUUAACUUCUGCAGCUGGCGAGGGGUCAACUGCAGCACCACCCUCCCGAUCCGUGUCGUGUCCCUCCAAUUGAGGUCUGCUCAGCUCACAGGAACACUAUCCAGCUGUACAGCUGCCCUUACUUCUCUAUUUCAGUUGAACCUUUGGAAUAAUAAGUUAUCUGGAAGCGUACCUGAAGACAUAGGUGAGCUUCGGAGCCUCCAAACCCUGAUGCUUGCUGGCAACAGGCUUUCAGGUAACAUCCCUCUGUCAUUAGGUACAGCUGCAUCUCUUAGAUAUGUCAACCUUGCAAACAAUUCUCUUAGUGGAGCUAUCCCUGAUUCCUUAGCAAAUAGUUUGUCACUCAGUGAGAUAAUCCUCUCACGUAAUAACAUAUCUGGGGUGAUCCCAGCUAAUUUAUUCAACUCAUCCAAACUUGUUGCUGUUGACCUCCGGUCGAAUGCUCUCUCCGGGCCUAUCCCACAUUUCCAAAAGAUGGAUGCUCUGCAAUUUCUUAAUCUUACAGGGAAUUCACUUUCUGGUACUAUACCAGCAUCUUUGGGCAAUGUUUCAUCAUUGCGUUCCCUCCUGCUAGCACAAAACAACUUAGCAGGAUCAGUUCCAGAAACUUUGGGUCAAAUUCCAAACCUAACAGUGCUAGAUCUAAGUAAUAACAUGUUCACGGGGUAUGUCCCAGUUACACUGUACAAUGUGUCAUCACUCACACUCUUUAGCUUAGGCACCAACAAUUUUAUUGGACACAUACCUUCUGAAAUUGGCCACUCACUUCCAAAUCUUCAAACAUUGGUAAUGGGAGGCAACGGAUUUCGUGGACCAAUCCCAGAUUCUCUGACCAACAUGUCAAAGCUCCAAGUGCUUGAUCUUUCAAGCAACUUGCUGACUGGCAUGGUGCCAUCCCUAGGAUCCUUGGCAGACAUGAGUCAACUGAUUUUACGUAAUAAUAAACUCGAAGCUGGCGACUGGGCCUUCCUUACCUCUCUGACCAAUUGCACUCAGUUGUUAAUAUUAUCAAUGGAUGGAAAUAUCCUGAAUGGAAGUUUGCCAAAAGCAGUAGGCAAACUUUCAACAAAGCUUCAGCGGUUAAGCUUUGGAAGAAACCAAAUUUCUGGAAACAUACCAGCUGAGAUAGGCAAGCUUGUAAGUCUCACUCUGCUUGACAUGGGCCAGAACAUGCUCUCUGGACCAAUUCCCCUGACAGUUUGGAACUUGAGAAACUUGGUUGUCCUAAAACUUUCCAUGAAUAGGUUGUCACGUCAGAUUCCAUCAACAGUUGGUAAUCUUGUUCAACUCAACCAGCUUGAUCUUGAUGGCAAUGAAUUGUCUGGAAACAUACCAGCAAAUAUAGGACAGUGCAAAAGGCUUGCUAUGCUGAACAUGUCAGUUAACCGCCUUGAUGGAUCCAUACCAAUAGAACUCUUUGGUAUUUCUUCCCUUUCAUUGGGUUUGGACUUGUCAAACAACCACCUGACUGGGCCUAUACCACAGGAAGUUGGUAACCUGAUCAAUCUUGGCCUCCUAAAUAUUUCCAAUAACAAAUUAUCUGGUGGCCUUCCUUAUGAACUUGGCCAGUGUGUUCAACUGCUAUCCCUUCAAAUAGAACGCAACAUGCUCAGCGGGUAUAUUCCUCAGUCUUUCAGUGCACUGAAGGUCAUACAGCAGAUAGAUCUGUCCGAGAACAAUUUAAUUGGUCAAGUUCCACAGUAUUUUGGGAACUUCAGCAGCUUAAAUUAUAUUAAUAUAUCAUACAACAAAUUGGAAGGGCCAAUCCCGACUGGUGGCAUAUUUGGAAAUUCAACUGCAGUAUUCCUGCAAGGCAACACAGGGUUAUGUGCAGUUAUUGCCAUAUUUGGACUGCCCAUUUGCCCCACCACCCCAGCAACAAAAAAGAAGAUAAAUGCACGCCUGCUGCUGAUAAUAACUGCAUUGAUUACUGUUGCUUUGUUCUCUAUUAUAUGUGUUGUUGUCACUGUUAUGAAGAGGACCAAAACUCAACCAUCUGAAAACUUCAAGGAAACAAUGAAGAGGGUGUCAUAUGGGAACAUCCUUAAAGCCACCAAUUGGUUCUCUGUAGUUAACCGGAUAAGCUCAAGUCAUACAGCAUCAGUCUACAUUGGUCGAUUUGAGUUCGAGACAGAUCUCGUGGCCAUCAAGGUGUUCCAUCUCAGUGAGCAGGGUUCGAGAACUAGCUUUUUCACCAAGUGCGAAGUUCUGAAAAACACCCGCCACCGCAAUCUGGUUCAAGCUAUCACCAUGUGCUCAACCGUAGAUUUCGAGGGCGAUGAAUUCAAGGCUAUAGUAUAUGAGUUCAUGGCAAACGGUAGCCUGGACAUGUGGAUACACCCAAGGGUUGGCAGCUCAAGGAGGCUGUUGAGCUUGGGCCAGCGGAUAAGUAUUGCUGCUGAUGUAGCUUCUGCUCUGGACUAUAUGCACAACCAGCUGACACCUCCUUUAAUUCACUGUGAUCUGAAGCCGAGCAAUGUUCUGCUGGACUACGACAUGACCUCAGCAUUGGCGACUUUGGGUCCGCCAAGUUUCUCUCUUCAAGUAUCGGCAGACCAGAAGGCUUGA